RNAcentral lists this ribosomal RNA (437 nucleotides) under uncultured bacterium. RNAcentral's name for it is "bacterial SSU rRNA". It matches the Rfam family "Bacterial small subunit ribosomal RNA", at positions 28 to 478 of the family's 1533-position model. The record is from RNAcentral.
GACGAACGCUGGCGGCGCGCCUAACACAUGCAAGUCGAACGAGCGAGAGAGAGCUUGCUUUCUCGAGCGAGUGGCGAACGGGUGAGUAACGCGUGAGGAACCUGCCUCAAAGAGGGGGACAACAGUUGGAAACGACUGCUAAUACCGCAUAAGCCCACAGCUCGGCAUCGAGCAGAGGGAAAAGGAGCAAUCCGCUUUGAGAUGGCCUCGCGUCCGAUUAGCUAGUUGGUGAGGUAAUGGCCCACCAAGGCGACGAUCGGUAGCCGGACUGAGAGGUUGAACGGCCACAUUGGGACUGAGACACGGCCCAGACUCCUACGGGAGGCAGCAGUGGGGAAUAUUGCACAAUGGGGGAAACCCUGAUGCAGCGACGCCGCGUGGAGGAAGAAGGUCUUCGGAUUGUAAACUCCUGUUGUUGAGGAAGAUAAUGACGGUAC